GACGAACGCUGGCGGCGUGCUUAACACAUGCCAGUCGAACGAUGAACCCGGAGCUUGCUCUGGGGGAUUAGUGGCGAACGGGUGAGUAACACGUGAGUAACCUGCCCUGGACUCUGGGAUAAGCGUUGGAAACGACGUCUAAUACCGGAUAGGACCUUGGAUCGCAUGAUCUGGGGUGGAAAGUUUUUUCGGUCUGGGAUGGACUCGCGGCCUAUCAGCUUGUUGGUGAGGUAAUGGCUCACCAAGGCGUCGACGGGUAGCCGGCCUGAGAGGGUGACCGGCCACACUGGGACUGAGACACGGCCCAGACUCCUACGGGAGGCAGCAGUGGGGAAGAUUGCACAAUGGGCGAAAGCCUGAUGCAGCAACGCCGCGUGCGGGAUGACGGCCUUCGGGUUGUAAACCGCUUUUAGUAGGGAAGAAGGGCUUCGGCUUGACGGUACCUGCAGAAAAAGGACCGGCUAACUACGUG
RNAcentral lists this ribosomal RNA (472 nucleotides) under uncultured bacterium. RNAcentral describes it as "partial 16S ribosomal RNA". It matches the Rfam family "Bacterial small subunit ribosomal RNA", at positions 28 to 507 of the family's 1533-position model. The record is from RNAcentral.